CCUACGGGCGGCAGCAGUGGGGAAUAUUGCACAAUGGGGGAAACCCUGAUGCAGCGACGCCGCGUGAGUGAAGCAGUAUUUCGGUAUGUAACGCUCUAUCAGCAGGGAAGAAAAUGACGGUACCUGAUUAAGAAGCCCCGGCUAACUACGUGCCAGCAGCCGCGGUACUACGUAGGGGGCAAGCGUUAUCCGGCUUUACUGGGUGUAAAGGGAGCGUAGACGGCAGCACAAGUCUGGAGUGAAAUGCCGGGGCUUAACCCCGGAACUGCUUUGGAGACUGUGCAGCUAGAGUGUAGGAGAGGUAAGUGGAAUUCCUAGUGUAGCGGUGAAAUGCGUAGAUAUUAGGAGGAACACCAGUGGCGAAGGCGGCUUACUGGACUGUAACUGACGUUGAGGCGCGAAAGCGUGGGGAGCAAACAGGAUUAGAUACCCCGGUAGUC
Molecule: ribosomal RNA, 440 nt
Filed under: uncultured bacterium
Lineage: Bacteria
Description: partial 16S ribosomal RNA
Rfam family: Bacterial small subunit ribosomal RNA
Source: RNAcentral